RNAcentral lists this ribosomal RNA (431 nucleotides) under uncultured bacterium. Its description in RNAcentral is "partial 16S ribosomal RNA". It matches the Rfam family "Bacterial small subunit ribosomal RNA", at positions 338 to 795 of the family's 1533-position model. The record is from RNAcentral.
CCUACGGGUGGCUGCAGUGGGGAAUAUUGGACAAUGGGCGAAAGCCUGAUCCAGCCAUGCCGCGUGAAUGAUGAAGGCCUUAGGGUUGUAAAGUUCUUUUGUCAGGGAUGCGGUACCUGAAGAAUAAGCACCGGCUAACUUCGUGCCAGCAGCCGCGGUAAUACGAAGGGUGCUAGCGUUGUUCGGAAUCACUGGGCGUAAAGCGCGCGUAGGCGGCUUUGCAAGUCAGAGGUGAAAUCCCAAGGCUCAACCUUGGAACUGCCUUUGAAACUGCAAAGCUAGAGUGUCGGAGGGGAUGGCGGAAUUCCUAAUGUAGAGGUGAAAUUCGUAGAUAUUAGGAGGAACACCGGUGGCGAAGGCGGCCAUCUGAGACAACUGACGCUGAGGCGCGAAAGCGUGGGGAUCAAACAGGAUUAGAUACCCCGGUAGUC